This 644-nucleotide ribosomal RNA is filed under the name uncultured Actinomycetes bacterium. Its description in RNAcentral is "bacterial SSU rRNA". It matches the Rfam family "Bacterial small subunit ribosomal RNA", at positions 231 to 886 of the family's 1533-position model. Lineage: Bacteria; Bacillati; Actinomycetota; Actinomycetes. The record is from RNAcentral.
UCGCGGCCUAUCAGCUUGUUGGGRGGUAGUGGCCCACCAAGGCGACGACGGGUAGCCGGCCUGAGAGGGCGACCGGCCACACUGGGACUGAGACACGGCCCAGACUCCUACGGGAGGCAGCAGUGGGGAAUAUUGCUCAAUGGGCGCAAGCCUGAAGCAGCGACGCCGCGUGAGGGAUGAAGGCCUUCGGGUUGUAAACCUCUUUCAGUAGGGACGAAGCGAGAGUGACGGUACCUACAGAAGAAGCACCGGCCAACUACGUGCCAGCAGCCGCGGUAAUACGUAGGGUGCAAGCGUUGUCCGGAAUUAUUGGGCGUAAAGAGCUCGUAGGCGGUUUGUCACGUCGGCUGUGAAAUCCCGAGGCUCAACCUCGGGUCUGCAGUCGAUACGGGCAGACUAGAGUACUGCAGGGGAGACUGGAAUUCCUGGUGUAGCGGUGGAAUGCGCAGAUAUCAGGAGGAACACCGGUGGCGAAGGCGGGUCUCUGGGCAGUAACUGACGCUGAGGAGCGAAAGCGUGGGGAGCGAACAGGAUUAGAUACUCUGGUAGUCCGCGCCGUAAACGGUGGGCGCUAGGUGUGGGGACCAUUCCACGGUCUCUGUGCCGCAGCUAACGCAUUAAGCGCCCCGCCUGGGGAGUACGGA